GUGCGAGACCGAUAGCGAACAAGUACCGUGAGGAAAAGAUGAAAAGAACUUUGAAAAGAGAGUUAAAGAGUACCUGAAACUGCUGAAAGGGAAGCGAAUCGUAUCCAGUGUCUAUAAUCUGCGGCAUAUUUCAUUGGCGGCGGUGCGCGUGCUUUUGCGUCGGAAGCGGCUUUUGUUGCUCUGUGCUUUUGCUGUGCGUGGUGUUGCUGGUGCCCUGUGUUGCGGUGGGACGUCAGAGUCAGUUUGUAUGCUGCGGGAAAUGGCUGCCGAGGAGGUAGGUCGAGAUUUCGGUCUUGGCUGUUAUAUCUUGGUGGUUUGUUGUCGUGGUUGAGACUGAGGUGCCUACAAUGUGCUUUUGAGUGUACCGGGUUCUCAUUUGGUGGACUGUUUGGAUAGCUUGCUAUGCUUGUGGUUUUUUCAUCGGGUGAUUGAGUCUGGUGGUAACUUGUUGCUGUUCGGGACUUUGA
Molecule: ribosomal RNA, 467 nt
Filed under: uncultured Oomycota
Lineage: Eukaryota; Oomycota
Description: LSU rRNA
Rfam family: Bacterial large subunit ribosomal RNA (bases 1-83)
Source: RNAcentral